AACGCACAUUGCGCCCUUUGGUAUUCCGAAGGGCAUGCCUGUUCGAGCGUCAUUAUCCAACCUCAAGCUUGGCUUGCUAUUGGGCUUUAUUGCAUAAUAGGCUCUAAAGAUAAUGGCGAUGUCAUGAAUGACUCCAGUGCAGCGAGCUUUUAGCAUACACUGAACAACUUCAUGUCAUCUGACCUUUAAUAUUUUCUUAAGGUUGACCUCGGAUCAGGUAGGAAUACCCGCUGAACUUAA
This 240-nucleotide unclassified non-coding RNA is filed under the name uncultured fungus. RNAcentral describes it as "partial contains 5.8S ribosomal RNA, internal transcribed spacer 2, and large subunit ribosomal RNA". The stretch from base 1 to 52 matches the Rfam family "5.8S ribosomal RNA", at positions 103 to 154 of the family's 154-position model. Lineage: Eukaryota; Fungi. The record is from RNAcentral.